This 497-nucleotide ribosomal RNA is filed under the name uncultured bacterium. Its description in RNAcentral is "partial 16S ribosomal RNA". It matches the Rfam family "Bacterial small subunit ribosomal RNA", at positions 28 to 507 of the family's 1533-position model. The record is from RNAcentral.
GAUGAACGCUGGCGGCGUGCCUAAUACAUGCAAGUCGAGCGAACAGACGAGGAGCUUGCUCCUCUGACGUUAGCGGCGGACGGGUUAGUAACACGUGGAUAACCUACCUAUAAGACUGGGAUAACUUCGGGAAACCGGAGCUAAUACCGGAUAAUAUAUUGAACCGCAUGGUUCAAUAGUGAAAGACGGUUUUGCUGUCUCUUAUAGAUGGAUCCGCGCCGCAUUAGCUAGUUGGUAAGGUAACGGCUUACCAAGGCAACGAUGCGUAGCCGACCUGAGAGGGUGAUCGGACACAAUGGAACUGAGACACGGUCCAGACUCCUACGGGAGGCAGCAGUAGGGAAUCUUCCGCAAUGGGCGAAAGCCUGACGGAGCAACGCCGCGUGAGUGAUGAAGGUCUUCGGAUCGUAAAACUCUGUUAUUAGGGAAGAACAAAUGUGUAAGUAACUAUGCACGUCUUGACGGUACCUAAUCAGAAAGCCACGGCUAACUACGUG